Molecule: long non-coding RNA, 1884 nt
Organism: Oreochromis aureus
Lineage: Eukaryota; Metazoa; Chordata; Actinopteri; Cichliformes; Cichlidae
Source: Ensembl
CUGAGCACAGCACGCAUGUGAGCGAGGGGGGAGAAGCUGCUGCCUGCGAGUUUGCUGCAGACAGAGGAGAGCUUAAGUUUGACCAGCACAGAGAGGGAGAGAGAGGAACAGAGAGGGAGAGAGAGGGAGAGAGGACAAAACAGAGAUGGAACAAGAGCAGAUCCUGACCUUCAGUCCGGAGCGUCCAUGGGCCUCCUGCUGCCAGGAAACCAGAUCCCGAGCGUUUAGUGAGACAGGAUCAGUUCGUGCGGUGCGAACGGGGCCAACUAAACGGUCUAUUUCUGUUUAAUCCUGACUUCCUGUUUGGCUCCACCACCGUUGUAAGCGAUGCUGCCGGAAAAAUCUGCUGCUGCUGGACGAGCGGGGAGCAGGACGGCUCGGAUCCCCCGUACACCUGCAGGAUUUGGCUCCGAUGUGGAAACAGGGAUCAGGAAUAUUUAUACACGCUUACAUAACCAGCCUCGCCAUUCAACAUCCAGAUCAGUGUUUCUGUACCACUAUCUCACACACACGCCUCCCCCAUCACCUCCCCCUCUGCAGAGGAGAUACCAGUGCUCUUAGAAACUCCCCUGGUUGCCUAGCAACUGGUCCUGAGGAUUGCCAAAGAGACAGAGAUCAUUCGUCUGUUAUGAGUGGGUAAUAUGAUAUUGUGUAAGUGGGGGUGUGAGCUUUCACGUCCAUGUUUGUGAGGACCGACUGAAGUUUUUUUGGAACCAAGCACGUUUGAGGGCUCAGCUGUGACGAGUCGGGACGCCGUCCACGUCUGCCCUCGACCAUCACACGUCGACACGACUGUUCUGCAUGUAUGUAAGCAAAUCAGACAUUUCAUGGAGUUUCUGUAAAGUGGGGACAUGUUUUGUGUAUUGGGGACAAACGUUUAUCAAAUAUUUAACCAUUAAGGGAAAUAUUCAUGAAAUAAACUGAAACGUGACCAAGUAAAGUAAAUUUCCUUUGAUGAAAUCUGAUUAUUUUUACAUUAUGUUUAUAUAAAUGUAUCUGUUUGAGUGUAUAAAGCCUGUUAAGUAAACUUCCAGCUUCGUUACAAUUUCAUCUUCUUUUCUGCCACAUAGAGACAAACAGGAACAUUUAGGUCGAGGCCGAGUACUAAAGUUUUAGUCCUGGUCACUAAUCUGGCCUCCAUGUUUGUGGACAGCAGGUUAACAGCGGUUUAAGGUCAGAGAGGUCGGCCUAAAGCACAAAAAUCUAUAAACCUUUGUCAUACAGUGAGAUGAAAACAAAACACAUCGACCGCCGAGGAGUCCGUCUUCGCAUCAUAACGAGUCUCAUAUCGAGGCUGACGGAGAUAACCACGCUUUCGGACGUGAUGGAGGCUCAGGCGGUGACGAGGACGCGGAGAGCUGAAUGAAAUCAGCCCAGAUCGAACUUCCUGCUGCUGAUGGUAUCUGCUGUGUGAGCUGCUGGUUUUAUUACAGGGAACAGCGGGCGCGAGGGAAAGGUCGCCCUGCAGACAUUGUUUUCUCGUUCCCGGCGGCCUGUGGGUCAACAAAUAUCGACUGGGCCGCUUCCUGUUAUACGACUGAAACCGUGUUCAGGAGAGAGGACGCGAGCAGGCGGGCAGAGGGAGGUGAACACAAAUGAACGUUAAUGUUACAGUUUGGCUACAACGAACACGUGACAUACGUGAACUGUCUGCAGAGUUUAUCUCCUGUUGGUUACAGCUGCAGCACAUUCAGCACGAAGCUGUGAGGCAGCCGCCGGUGCAAAAGGAGGGAAGGAAGUAAAAGAAAAGAAAGAAAGGAGGAAGUAAAGGAAACUAUGAAAGGAAAAGGAAAGGUAAAUGAAGAAAAGAUGGAAGGAAGGAGGCGAAGAAUGGAGAAUGAAUAAAAAAAGAACAAAGAGAAAAGGAAAAAAGGAAAAGCAGCA